This 754-nucleotide long non-coding RNA is filed under the name Sus scrofa (pig). RNAcentral describes it as "lncRNA (ENSSSCG00015029033.1)". Lineage: Eukaryota; Metazoa; Chordata; Mammalia; Artiodactyla; Suidae. The record is from RNAcentral.
GACGGCCGGCCGCUGGAAGUUCGGGCCCGCGGCGCACGCCCUGCCGCCCCGGGAUGCACGUGAACUUGGAGAAAGUCUCGGGGCGCGCCGGCGCAGACCUCCGCGGCUGGGCGUGGGCGCCCCUGGCCCCGCGCGCUUUCGUUUUCGUCUGGGACAAAGGUCCCUCGCGGCGCAGGUCGCGGACGUGGAGGCAGUGCCCUGCGGGCCACUCAGCGGGGAGGUCCGGUCGUUCAGUCAAGGGAAGCCGGAGCCUGGAGAAGACGAGCCGCGCGGUCGGAGGCGCGGUGCGGGACCAGGACAGUGGGGCCUGGCCGUGCGCUUCGCCCUGGCGGUCCAGGAGCUGUCUCGCCCUCCGAAGAGUUACGGGAGGUGGCACUGCUUUUGCUCUCUGCCCUUUCGACACGUGAAGGAGAGAAUCAUUCGGAACCCAGGACUCAGACCGGUGGCCGAGGGCCUGUGCAGCCGCGAGCACGACAGCGCAGCGCUGGCCGCGUCCGCGCGCGUUCCUCCGACAAGGGCAGAGCAGUCGACCAGCGCGCCCCAGUCUCGAUCGGGUUCAAGGCGACUCUUGAGGACGAAGGCGGCUGGUCCCAGAGCAUCUCGGAGAAAGCAGACACCCAUCUUGGCCUUUGGAAGACGCUCAAGGACCACGUGGCCGGGUCCACGGUCUCUGCCCUGCGCCUCGAGGGCGAGGCAGCCCAGGUCUUGCCCUUCUUGCCGGCCACUUCGCCCCCAGCCGACGCCUGGAGCUUGA